GCAAGUCGAACGAACAAGGCUGGAGCUUGCUUCAGCUGCGUUAGUGGCAAACGGGUGAGUAACACGUGGGAAUCUACCCAUCAGUACGGAAUAACAUUUGGAAACAGAUGCUAAUACCGUAUAUUCUCUAAGGAGGAAAGAUUUAUCGCUGAUGGAUGAGCCCGCGCAAGAUUAGAUAGUUGGUGGGGUAAUGGCCUACCAAGUCUACGAUCUUUAGCUGGUCUGAGAGGAUGAUC
RNAcentral lists this ribosomal RNA (236 nucleotides) under uncultured bacterium. RNAcentral's name for it is "partial 16S ribosomal RNA". It matches the Rfam family "Bacterial small subunit ribosomal RNA", at positions 57 to 305 of the family's 1533-position model. The record is from RNAcentral.